AUAUUUAAGUCCGUGGGGUAGGGUGGGAAUGGAACAAAGCAGUGUCAUUUAUGUUCCAAUACAGUUCUUUCGUGUUUUUCAUAUUUAUUAUAAUUAAUUUGAAGUUGAAUGUUAGUUUUUCGACCGUUUCGUAUUCAAACUAGAGUGUACUUAUAACUUGAGAUGCCCUUGCGUCUUUAAAAAAAAACAGAUGGUUAAACCGUGUGCGGUACCGCGGUGUAAAACCGGCACAACAAAACUGACGGAAAAGUGCUCGGUGUUUAAAGUGCCGUCAAACAUCGAACAGUAUAAAAAGUGGAAAGCUGUUAUCCCUGGAAUUGUUGAUCUCAAACAAACUCAAUAUGUUUGUGAAAAACAUUUCGAAGAAAAAUAUAUUCUGAGGAAAUGGAUAAAACAUGACUCGAAUGGCAAGAUCAUUGCUGAGGCUGAGUAUGCACGACCUCGGCUGGAUCCACUCGCUAUUCCAUCAAUAUUCAGCAGCACUACAUCAAAACAACCAAGCACCACUCAAAAUGCUACUGAAGAUUGUGCUUUGGAAGAACCCUCGACUGUACACGAUUUGCCUCAAAUUGAGCCUACUGGUACUUCAACAGUCUGUUUCACUGAUGUUGAAUUGUCCAGAGAUAACUUGAAAGACGUUUUAGCUCGAGGCAAAGAUGACACACAAGAGCCGCCAUCGGCAACUAUAGAUACACCAGGAACUACUGAAGAAUUCUCCGUGGAAAAAAUAUUGGAUAAAAGAACAAGAAAUGGGAAAAUAGAGUAUUUAUUGAAGUGGAAGGGUUACAACGAGGAGGACAACACAUGGGAGCCAGAGGAGAAUUUAGAUUGUCCAGAUUUAAUAGCAGCUUAUGAAGCACAAUUUGAAUUAACUUCUACAGCAGAAGACUCAGAUAAAUCGAAAAGGAAAAAUAUAACUGAAGAUAACAGAGCUAGAGGUUUUGAUAGAGGACUGGACCCGGCUAAAAUUGUUGGGGCAACAGAUGCAAGUGGUGAACUGAUGUUUUUAAUGAUGUGGAAAAACUGCAAAGAAGCUGAUUUAGUUCCAGCCAACCAAGUAAAUGCCAGGUGUCCAGAAGUUGUUAUCAAUUAUUACGAGAAUAAAAAACAGUGGUACAGCAAAAGUCCUGUUAUUGAAUUAGAUUAAGGUAAAAAUAAAGAACUAUUUCAAACUUACAUUUCAAUUAUUUCAAUUUAGUCUAAUAAUAAUCAUUCUUUUGUAUUUAAUAAUCAUUAAAUAUUUCUUAAUAGUUGCUAGAAACAGAAAAACAAGCAAAUAAUAGUGAACAUAUUUUUCUAAUUUAAAAUCUAUCUAAGAUCAGUAAGUAAUAAGAAAUUACUUACAAAAGUAUUAUUAUGGAUUAAACUUUGUUCUUACACCUAGGGUUACUACUUGAGAUAACUUCUUAAGGGAAUUAAAAAAGGUAUUCAGAGUAUUUUGAGAGUAGAAAUUGAGACAUCUGUUUGACCUACUCUUCAAGUAAGAUAAAAGCAUGUGUAAAGAAAACUGUAUACUUCCAUUUAUACUUAGAUGACUUCGUUUCCAUCGAGUAAAAGAGGGAGCGUUGUAGGCACCUAUAUACAAUUCAGAGAAUCCAGAACUUCUUUUAUGGACUUAAGAAACAUAAAACAAACUUUUAUAAUUUGACAUCAUGUAAAUGGUAACUAGAGAAUAAUUGUUUGUAUGUAUGCAAUGGAUAAUAUUUAUAAGUUGAUUUGAAUUGUUCUCCAAUAUUACGUUUAGUGGAAAGUAGAGCUAGAGUAAAAAAAUAUUAGAGAAAUGAAAUAUAACUGAGAUAGGUAUCAGGGACAUAGCCACAUCCGUUUCAAAGAUAUGGGCCUCCUAACUACAGGCAAGAGCGAUCCUGGCCCUAUCUUUGGGAGGGGACUUUUAGAUAUUUAAAAGUUAUUUGUUAGGAUCUGGCAUAUGAAAUACAAAUUGAUAGUAAUAUGAAAAGCAAGUCACAUGGUGAUGAUGUUCUGGUUAUCGAAGCUAUAAAAUGCAGAGACCACACACAUCAAGCUUUCUGCAAGUUGUUUAAAGCUUAAAAAAAGGUAUAACAUAUUUCCAAUGGUACUGCACGAUAAUAGUAAAUUGCAUAAAAAGGGUGAUAUCAUGAACUUAGCCAAAUACCGAUCCAUAAGUUUGCUCUCCAAUUUGUAUAAGCUCUUUAUACAUAUUAUCACGAUCCGGUUGAGAUAUAAAUGGGAUCUUUUUCAGCCCCAAGAACAGGCAGGGUAUGAUACAAAUGAUCAUUUGAAAGGUAUCAAAACACUCAUGAAGAAAAGUGUAGGAUAUAACAAAUCCCUGACUCUGGUGUCCAUAGACUCUGAAAAGGAGUUUAAUAUAGGAAAUCAACACAAAACUCGUGACAGCUUUGGCCGACUAUAUAAUAGAAUACAGGUAUAUAUCAAUUAUUAAUAGAAACAUGUAUAUGACAACCCAAAAAGUAUGUAUGAGACUUGACAACAACACCACUGUGUUAUAUCACCAAAACUGUUCCUAGAUAUGUUAUUUAUCCAAUGUUUACUUGCCUAUUUGACUAGUUUUGGUGUUUACCAAGUUUGACGCAAGUUGUGUUGUCUACGGCCACAAGUUGCUAACAAGUUUCAAGUUUCCUGACUGUAUCUACGCUUAGAGAACUUCCGAGAAGUUGUUUGAUUAUAUAAAAGAAUCUUUUGAUAGCUUCUGGUGUUUCAGUUUCCAUCGAAACAUUACCUUGACUACAUGCGGUUAAUUUAUGUUUAUUACAACUUUCAAGCAGAGUUUCAUUAACACAAAUUGAUAAGUGGCUAAUCAACACGUAAAUUGGCAUGUUGAAAACGGUCCGUUUUGUUUAGAGGUAGAUGUAUUGAUGGUUUUCUGAUAUUUGGCUUGCUAUUGUAUAGACUACCUUAAGAAGUGAAGGAUACUCAACUUUUCAAGGGUGGUCAAGUCGGUAUUUAGAGAGAUACUUGUUUUAAUGGUUGUACAGACUUGUUAAUGGAUGAUAAAAAUACCCCAUUAAGAAAAAUUAGUAGAAUAUUCUUUUAACAUCUUAUUCCACAUUUCACAUUGUCUCUUCAAUGCUGGACUUGGGUAUACUUGGGACUAAAAAGACCCCGAAUUUCCAUCAAUCACCAUCACAAGAACUUACCUCAUCUAUACCUUGGAGAGAAUUUUUAUGGAUUAGGUUAUAGUUGGAAUCCCAGCAUGUUACAGUAAUGUUUCCUCAAAAUGUUUUACUUGAUAUUUGGGCAGUUAAAAAGGAAAUGAAAUAAAACACAAAUUUGUCAAAUCGUUAACUCUUUUUAUUUACCCUAGUCUUUUAUUACACUAGUAGGAUAAUAUAAGUGAAAUGGAACAAUUCAAAUAACUUACAAAAUACGAAGCAAAUCUUUUGAAUUUUCAUAAAAUUUGUAAAUUGACUAGAGUUAGAGAAACAUAUUUAGGAAUGCAUUUCAACAUUAUAUACAACUUGUCAUAUCAACAAGGUAUCUUGCAACAUUACAUUAAACUUGAAUAAAAAAAUAAAUUGACAAAUAUUAUGAGCAAUGAAUGUAUUAGAUCUCAUAUUGGUCGCUGCAAAACAUUACCUUGCUCAAUUACAUCAGUAUCGGUCGUUAAUAUAAUUUUCGCAUGCAGUUAUUUAUUAGUAUCCAUUAAAAAUUUGAUCCAAAUAGUUAUAGAUAUCCAGAGAAUAUUAAUUUCAAUAUAGAAUCGAGAAUCAUUUAUUAUUUGUUGAUAUUACUGGAAAAAAAUAAUUUUACAAUGAUAUCUGAAAAUUAUAUUAACCGUAUGGUGAGAUUAGAGAAUUUUUGGAAUUAUUGGGGAUACUCAUAUCAAAAGCAAUGUUUACAAGCACAAAAUACCAUCCAAAUGUUUUCCAGUAUAUUAGUAGAGAUAUAUGAUGAAGAUAAUAUAAAAGUAAGAAUAGGUUCAAAUAUAUAGGUAGUGAUUAUUUUUCAAAUUUCUGUUUCGUUUCUUUUUACUUAGUUAUCGUUUUUCGUUUUAUCUCAUCUCUAUUCUUUUAAUUAAGUACCCCAGUGUAAUGUUCAUGCCAGUCGACGACAUCUCGCAAAGAAUAGAAAUAUUAAGAUUAAAAUAUACAAAAAUUCUAAAAUACGAACGGAAAAAGUGUAAAGAGGAAGAGAAGUUUAAUGAUGUAGAAAGUAAAAAACAGAUGAAAAUUAAAUAGAGAAGAUCGAAAAACUAUUUGAAGAGGAUUAAAAAAUAUGAAUACGAAAAAAAAAAUUAUAAAAAUAGCAUGUAGAGGGAUAGUAAAAGCAACCAAAAACUAUUAUAACAAGUGAUAAAAUAAAGUAAAAAAAUAAUGUAAUAAAUAUUGACAAAAAAUACUGGGCGGAAUAAAAAUUUCUAACAAUAUACAAAAGGAGAGAAAUUGACAUACGAAACUAAUGAUAUAGUAAUCAAAAUUUUCGAAAAUAUUGAUGAAAUAUAAUAUAAUACCUAGAAAGAGAGAAAAAAAUAAAUAGAACAUACUGUACUAGGUGGUACACUCACAAUUAAUUCGAUAUUCAGAAACCAAAGACAAACAGUUUAAUUUCUCUGAAGACGAUAAUUUAUUUAUCGAAACGCGCAUAACACAUAAUUGUGAGUGUUAUAAACAGUAUGUUAUGACUAUAUAGAGCAAUAAUAUUUAAAUUACUUUGUAGUUCAUUCACUAUAUUGCAACAAUAGUUCAAAAUAGGGAUGGUACGCUAAAUUCCAACUCGGGAAUAAAUAACUGCAAGGAAAAAAAUCAUUUUGUAAUGUUGAUAUUAAUUUGUUGUAGGCAGUAUUUCGCCCGAAUUGUUAUCAAUACUUAAAGCGAGUCAUUUUUUAUUAUCUAGCACAAAUGAAAUAGUUCUAUUGCACUAAUGAUAAAUUAAUAAAAUAAUAUUGCUUAAAUAUGAACUUGCACCUUGUUAUACAGAUAAGAAAUAUACAUUUUAGCUAUAAGGAGCGUGAUUCUUUACAAAUAAUUUACCAUUUUUACACAAUAUACAUAAAUGCUGAAUAUCUUCAGUGCUUUCUUCAAAAAUUGUAAACAAAAACGAAAUAUUGUAACAUACCAUUCAGCUUGCUACGUUUUUCUCAAACAUUUUCAAUAUACCUUUGAUCAAGUAAUGUGGCUGAGUAGUCACUUCUGAUUUAUUUAUUCUAACAUUCGAGAUAAGAAAUUAAUUUGUUAUAGACCUACCAGUCCAUUCGAAGAAUUUAACAAAACUCCAGUUUCGUUGCUAAAUCGUACUCUAUCACUCUAAAACUAAAUUCAGUAAAAUUUGUGGUGAUCUUCUUCAUAUUCACUGUGUGUAGAAAGAUAGAGGACGAUUUAGCAACGAAACUGGAGUUUUAUUGAAUUCUUCGCAUGGAGUGGGAGGUCGAUAACAAAUUAAUUUCUUCGAAAACUUGAUUGUUAGAAUAAAUAAAUUAGAAGUGACUACUGUGCCACAAUACGUGAGAAAGGAAUAUUCAAAAUGGAAAUUGUAACAAACCGAAUGGCAUGUUACAAUAUAUAAAUGAUUGAGAAAUCGCCUUGUGAAAGUACCUUUAACGAUAUAUCAACAAUUUGACCUAAAAAUAAAGGUUAACAUAUAAAUGGUACCACCAUUACCAUAGAUUAAAGACUCCUUUGAUAAGCACCGCCUAUGUAUCAUUUUGUAUUGCUUGUAUGGGAACGAGAACUUUGUACAAAUACCGCCUAUGCUGAAUGAACAUAUUUAAUUGUUUCUCAAUUUUCUCUAACUCGCUAUUCGAUGUACAAAAAGUUGACAAGACAUUAGGUAUUUUUAAUGUGUACACAACCGACCAUAUACCUUUUUAAGAAGAAUCGGUAAAUGAAGACCAUCGUGCAAGGCUGAAUUCAGGGAGCGGGCAAAAUGACACAUAAAUAACAUAAAUUUUCCGACUUUCUUUUUAUGUUUCUUAAUUCAUUUACCAAUUGAUUAAUUAUGUGGCAUAUCAUAUUUUAUGGUAAAAACAAUAUUAGAAACUAUAAGAAGCGUAAUUUUGAUGUUAAUGAUUUUUGCCUUGCAGCCGUCGACCCGCUGAGGUUCUAUAGUUUCUUUCAGAAAUGUAUAGAGCAAUAAAAACUCAUUAGGUAUGCAAAGGGACCACAGAGUGACCCAACGAAUAUUUAAUAGUUUGGCAUUGAUUUCAUUGUACAAAAUUUGUUUUAUCAAGUGCAGGUAGUACCACCCGGGUUAUUGCUAUCCAUUCACAAACACUGAAAAUAGUGUGCCAAAGGCGUGCCGGUAGGAUACUCGUAAAAAGGAAAUAAUCUUAUUUCAACAGAAUAAAAAUUAGGCAUUAUGUACAUAGUAUUAGGUACACUUAUUAAACAUACAAAAAUACAUUACACAGAAAUUAAAUUAUAAAAAAUCAUAAUAUUUUUCGUCAUCUGAGGAACUGUCAUCUCCUCUUGACGUUAUAAUUAACGGGUCGACGGUCCAAUCGAUCAAGUAGUCAAGAUCCCACAUUUUCUCCUUUUCUUUAAUGACAUGACUGGACUGGUUUUCGCCAGUUCUCUGGUGUCACCUCCUUAAUGGCUUGGUAAAACAGUAACUUAACGUCUUUCAUUUUGAAUGUCGUGUUGUGUCUUGCUACAAAUCCUCUCACUUGCGCCCAUAUAAGUUCAAUAGGAUUUAGUUCGCAAUGAUGUGGCGGUGUGCGCAGCACAGUUACACUAUGUUUUUCUGCUAUAUCUUCCACGGCGUAUUUCAUAAAACGAUGUUUGUGUUAAUUUGCUAUAGCUAAUAGUUCUUUUUUUAUCAAAUUUCUUGUUUUCUCCAAGAUGAAGUUGGAGUCUUCUCUAUGCGUCAAGAAUGAUAACUUGCGUUAUCCAUAACUACUAUUGAAUCAGCAGGAAGAUAUUUUAUCAUUUCACCAAAAUAGUCUUCAAAAACAUCCGAAUCAAUGUCCUCGUGGUAAUCUCCCGUAUGGCGCUACUGAAAGGUUAGCAAACCUUCUUUUAAAAAUCCCUCUUCGCUUCCAAAAUGGACGAUUAUUAGUCUUUUCCCUUCACCUAUAGGCACCGUAAUACCCGUUGACAGGCCUUGCAUGAAAGCUUGGGGAGUACUGGUUAUAUUUUUGUUUUGCCACAUUUUUGGUACUGUAUAACCUUCAUUAAUCCACGUCUCAUCAAGAUAAAAGAUUUUCUUCUGCUCUGUUCUGUACUGCUUUAUACUUCUUGAGUAUUUUCGUCGCCAGCAAACAAAUUCAUCGCUUUCCAGUAAAAGUGCUUUACGGUUAUGCUUUUCCCAGGCAAAAUCCAUAUUUCUCAAAGUGGUUCAUAAAAAUUUUUUAGUUAUCAACGGAAUACUGUCAUCCAGGCCAAGCUCCAUUAAAAUUUUAUCUAGGGUGGGUAUUUCUUUUUUAAAAUGAAGAGAGUGAACUUUUCUUCGAAUUACACUUUUGUUGUCUUCUUCAAAGACUUUUACUUGUCUGCCUGGACUUUUCUUGGGAGGUUCCACUUGGCCUGCUAUCUUUCUCCCCCGCAAUAAUUUAAAAACGGUGGACUUUCCAACUCCAGUCAUUCGGGAACAUCGGUCAACAGUUUCAUGUACAGUAAAUUUCGGGUAAUCGUAUUUUAUGCAAUCGUGUACAUUUAAAAUAAUAAGUUUUUCAUUCACUGAUAGUGGUGAAUUAUUGGAACAUCUUUUCGUUGGUGUAAAUGUCGCCAUUUUAUUACCAAUCUUAUAAUACUGUGAACACUAUUAUACGGCUUAACAGCAAAUAUUGAUGCGUUAAACUAAACAAAUAUACUUAUAAAGGUCUAAAAAUUUUGGGUAAGGCACCAUUGCCCUUACGGCGCAUGGUUAAGCCGAAUCUGAAAUAGGGUUGGAAUUAGGCAGAGGCACUAAUAGAAGGUUAACUGGUACCUGUUAAACGCAAAACGUAACUGUAUAAUCUACUACCUAAGUAACCCUACAGAAUAUUUCAAGACCUUCACCGAAAUUGAGCCGAACUGGACGGAAUUCCUCAUUUUAUUGCUCUAUACAUUUCUGAAAUAGACUAUAAGUACACGUUGUCGUGGGGAGCAGCAAAUUGUGGACAACCCUGAGGCGGCAAAUCUUCAAAUCCGCCUCUGCCCUGGUGUCACGACGUUCUGAGAGAUCUUUUUAUCAUUUUUUGAGUUAAGAAGUUUAGGUUUGAUUGUUUUAAUUUUCAUUACAGUGACGGGUGUCUUUAAAGUGUAACUUUCAAAUAAAUGAUUAAAUAUAUUUUCCCCCUAAGAAA
This is an RNA transcript of Diorhabda carinulata, 8221 nucleotides long. RefSeq lists it as uncharacterized. The transcript is spliced from 5 exons. Lineage: Eukaryota; Metazoa; Arthropoda; Insecta; Coleoptera; Chrysomelidae. The record is from RefSeq and is a predicted model, not a curated record.